CCCUUAGAUGCUCUGGGCCGCACGCGCGCUACACUGGUCGAUGCAACGAGUUUCUUUCCUUGGCCGACAGGCCUGGGCAAUCUUUGAACAUCGAUCGUGAUCGGGAUAGAUUCUUGUAAUUUUUGAUCUUAAACGAGGAAUUCCUAGUAAACGCAAGUCAUCAGCUUGCAUUGAUUACGUCCCUGCCCUUUGUACACACCGCCCGUCGCACCUACCGAUUGAAUGGUCCGGUGAAAUCUCCGGACUGGCGUGAGUCGGAGCAAUCUGACAAACGCCGGAAAGUUGAUUAAACCUUACCAUUUAGAGGAAGGUGAAGGCGUAACA
RNAcentral lists this ribosomal RNA (324 nucleotides) under uncultured eukaryote. RNAcentral's name for it is "partial 18S ribosomal RNA". It matches the Rfam family "Eukaryotic small subunit ribosomal RNA", at positions 1470 to 1796 of the family's 1831-position model. The record is from RNAcentral.